GAUGAACGCUGGCGGCGUGCCUAAUACAUGCAAGUCGAGCGAACAGACGAGAGUGCUUGCACUCUCUGACGUUAGCGGCGGACGGGUGAGUAACACGUGGGUAACCUACCUAUAAGACUGGGAUAACUUCGGGAAACCGGAGCUAAUACCGGAUAAUAUUUAGCUUCGCAUGAAGCAAUAGUGAAAGACGGUUCUGCUGUCACUUAUAGAUGGACCCGCGGUGUAUUAGCUGGUUGGUGAGGUAACGGCUCACCAAGGCAACGAUACAUAGCCGACCUGAGAGGGUGAUCGGCCACACUGGGACUGAGACACGGCCCAGACUCCUACGGGAGGCAGCAGUAGGGAAUCUUCCGCAACGGACGAAAGUCUGACGGAGCAGUGCCGCGUGAGUGAAGAAGGUUUUCGGAUCGUAAAACUCUGUUGUAAGGGAAGAACAAGUACGUUAGUAACUGAACGUACCUUGACGGUACCUUACCAGAAAGCCACGGCUAACUACGUG
This 499-nucleotide ribosomal RNA is filed under the name uncultured bacterium. RNAcentral's name for it is "partial 16S ribosomal RNA". It matches the Rfam family "Bacterial small subunit ribosomal RNA", at positions 28 to 507 of the family's 1533-position model. The record is from RNAcentral.